CUCUACAGCUAUCCCACUUUGGUCUUGUCUGAUCUUGGAAGCUAAGCAGAGUCAGUCUGAUUAGUACUUGGAUGGAAGAAAUGAUGAAUAGAAAGACAAUGGUUUGUGGUGG
This 112-nucleotide ribosomal RNA is filed under the name Mus caroli (Ryukyu mouse). Its description in RNAcentral is "rRNA (MGP_CAROLIEiJ_G0034241.1)". The record is from RNAcentral. Lineage: Eukaryota; Metazoa; Chordata; Mammalia; Rodentia; Muridae.